Molecule: long non-coding RNA, 775 nt
Filed under: Triticum aestivum (bread wheat)
Lineage: Eukaryota; Viridiplantae; Streptophyta; Magnoliopsida; Poales; Poaceae
Description: long non-coding RNA (TAES_LNC011264)
Source: RNAcentral
AUGCUCCGUACCAACAAAAGUACUGCACACAUCUAGUUAUGCAUGUCUUAUUUGUCAUAUAUAAUUAACAUUUGAUCUCAUGCUUGGUAUGCCUAUGCAGUAUCCAUAUCUAUUUUUAAGUUUUAGCGACAUUGGUGGAUCAUCACGGCCACCCCAAUUGCCCACCCUUCUUAGUGUCAUGCUCUGCAUCAUGGGCAUGGUACAUAACGUCUCACUUCAGAAACUCCACAGCUAGUGUGCAUCAUGUGCCAGGUACAGAAAGCUAGUGUGCAUCUUGUGCCGGGUACAGGACAUGUGACUGUAUCGUAAUCCGAGUUCAGACAUAACGCCAAGCGUCUCGCAAAUGUGCCAGGUACAUUAUUUUAACCUGAACCCCUAGAUAAUGUGCCAGGCACAUUAUUCUUAAGCUUGGGAGUACCUGCAUGAUGACAGCGAAAUCAGAAACACAAUACAGAUUUCCUUUUGCGAACCCUUUUACUUGCCUACUUUGACCUGCAAAACACAGACAUCAAGUUUAAUCACCAAUUUCCGAACUGCACCCAAAACCAAACAACGAUUUGGGUGUACUGCUCCCAAAUAAACUACUCCAGACAGCAAAAUGGGGAUGCGCAAGCAAAAAAAUAUCACAUAUUCACCUGGGUGGAUCAGGACAAUACCAAACGGCGUGGGAUCUCCCCAGCGGCGGUGCCCCGGCGCGGGAUAGCAUCGGCGGCGAUUCCGGUGCCGCAGGCCCGGACCUGCCGCUGAUUCCCCGCCUCCCCUUGUCCCCUUGUCC